CAGGUCCUUUCCUUUCUCCUACAGCACAGCCUGGAGCCUGACUCCUGUAGACUCUGGAAGAAGUGCAGUCACAGAACGCUCCAUGGUGAAGGAUUGUCAGAGGAGGAGGACACGUCCGACCCCAGGUUCCUACAAUAUAGGACCAGCUCAGUGGAUAUCUUCUAUAUAAGAUCCUUCUACUGAUUGAACCUUCAAGAAUGGAUAGGGACAGGGACAAGAUGGCGGAGAGUAUAAUACAUCUCACCCUAGAGAUCCUCUUCCGUCUUACUGGAGAGGACUACACAGUAGUGAAGAAGACCUCUAGUGAGCACUGUCAGG
Bufo bufo (common toad) is the source of this 318-nucleotide long non-coding RNA. RefSeq lists it as uncharacterized. Lineage: Eukaryota; Metazoa; Chordata; Amphibia; Anura; Bufonidae. The record is from RefSeq and is a predicted model, not a curated record. The transcript is spliced from 3 exons.